CAGAUCCCUGUGAAGAGUGGUGGUCCCCAUGGGGCAGGGGUCCUCGGUGAGUGGCUGACCUCCUCCCCGCCCCCACCCUGGGAGGCUCCUGCGGGACCUGUUGGCAGCCCCCACCCCUCCAGAUGCCCAGCUGGUGGGGAGGGCAGGUGAUAAGGGCUGGGUGGGGCAGGGACCUGCUGGAGCCACUUGCUCCCUCCUCCCAGGGCUGCACCUGGAGGGCCCCUUCAUCAGCCGGGAGAAGCGGGGCGCGCACCCCGAGGCCCACCUCCGCUCCUUCGAGGCCGAUGCCUUCCAGGACUUGCUGGCCACCUACGGGCCCCUGGACAAUGUCCGCAUCGUGACGCUGGCCCCAGAGUUGGGCCGUAGCCACGAAGUGAUCCGGGCGCUGACGGCCCGUGGCAUCUGCGUGUCCCUAGGGCACUCAGUGGCUGACCUGCGGGCGGCAGAGGAUGCUGUGUGGAGCGGAGCCACCUUCAUCACCCACCUCUUCAACGCCAUGCUGCCUUUCCACCACCGCGACCCAGGCAUCGUGGGGCUCCUGACCAGCGACCGGCUGCCCGCAGGCCGCUGCAUCUUCUAUGGGAUGAUUGCAGAUGGCACGCACACCAACCCCGCCGCCCUGCGGAUCGCCCACCGUGCCCAUCCCCAGGGGCUGGUGCUGGUCACCGAUGCCAUCCCUGCCUUGGGCCUGGGCAACGGCCGGCACACGCUGGGACAGCAGGAAGUGGAAGUGGACGGUCUGACGGCCUACGUGGCAGGCACCAAGACGCUGAGUGGCAGCAUAGCCCCAAUGGACGUCUGUGUCCGGCACUUCCUGCAGGCCACAGGUCAGUGAGCAGCACGGGUGCGGGUUUAGGUGGUCUGUGAGUGGUGGGUCCCCAAGGGGCUGGACCGGGUGCCCGGACUGUAGCCCAAGCUCUGCCCACAGGAGCUCCUGGGCAUUGGGUACUUGGUGACUCAGGCCCAGGGUGACAGGCAGACCAGCAGGGUCCUUGUUAGCCUGCUGCAGAGUCCCUGAGACAGGGAGUGCUGGUGUGGUUGGGGGCUGUUGGCAAAGCCAUGUGGGCUUGGGGACUGUCACCUAGCUGUGUCCCCCAAGCAGGCUGCAGCAUGGAGUCGGCCCUGGAGGCUGCAUCCCUGCACCCCGCCCAGUUGCUGGGGCUGGAGAAGAGUAAGGGGACCCUGGACUUUGGUGCUGACGCAGACUUCGUGGUGCUCGACGACUCCCUUCACGUCCAGGCCACCUACAUCUCGGGUGAGCUGGUGUGGCAGGCGGACGCAGCUAGGCAGUGACAAGGACCUCGGCUGAGAGGACACCUGGCCGCAGCGGGAUGCCAUCAGGGCCGGGUGGUUGGGGAGCUGGUCUCCAGGGAGUGAGUCGGGAGCCCUGCUGGAUUGAUGCCCAGGGCCUGUGCGGCCGCCCUGGAGGCGGUGGCUGGGAUAAACGUGCACCCAGCAGGACUCGCCUUGGCUCCGGGUUUUGCUUGUGCUCACAUGUGGCACCAUCCUUGGUUGCCCUCCUGGAGAAGGCAUUCACGGCCUGGGGUGGGAUGGCUGGGCUGUAGUUUAGCCUGGGCCUUGGGCCCCAGUGGGGGACAGGGCCUGUCUGCAUGAAGUGGACCGGAGACCUGCAGACCCCAGGAAAGUGUCACUAUGGGAGGGAGGGGCAGGCAGUCAGUGGCUGGUGCCAUGGGGUGAAGCCACCAUGGGCUGGGGGUGAAGAGCCGGCAGGAAGGGGACCAGUCACAGGGAGUGUGGACAGUCAGGGGUUUGCUUUCUGCUCCUGAGUUGGGGUGUGCAGCGUGGAGCCCACAGCCUGGUUCUGGGCCAGGGCACAGUGCCAGGGGCUCCGCUCUGACCUCCAGGAGGGAGACUGGGCCCGGGACCCCUGUUUUCUGCUCCCUGGACUGCCUAGCCCUGAGUGCCACGGAUGACCAGCGUUCUGUUUUCUCUUCUCAAUAACCCUAUCUCUUCACACAUCCCCAGGCCCAGUGCUUGCCGGCUGUGGUGACCCUGCCUGGUGCUGGAGGGCAGUAUGGGAGGCACCAGUGUGCCCUGCUCACCCCAUUAGUGUCAUCCUGCCAUCUUCUGUGUCCCCUUGGCCCUGGCACACACCCAUGUGGCAAACACGGGCCGUGAGGCUCCCUGAACAGCUUCGAGGCGGGUGGGCUUCUGGAGCCCUCUUGGCUCUGAGGACAGCCACAGUGGGGUCAGACGUCAGGGAUUGGUGCAGCCCCACGUCAGGGGUGAUUGUCUUGACUUUCUCUCCAUUUGAGUUCUGGGGUGGGUGGCUCCCUUCCCCCUUGCUUACAGGUGCUGUCCUGGGCACAGGAGGUACGCGCCUGGCUCUGCCACUGUUCUCUUCCCUCUGCUGCAAAGCCCAGUUAAGGAAAUGUCUCCAGGUCCAAAGAGAUAGGAUGGUCUGGGCCCCACCUGUUGGAAGGGAACAGCCAGGGAAGAACCACCUGCCUGGGCAGGGCCUCGCCUGAGGGAGGGCCUGGGGCAGGGCACAAGGGGUUGAUCUCAGCCCACAAGCCCCAGGGGCAGCCCAGGAAAGCAGGCGACGGAUGUGGAUCCUGACCUCCUGAGAGGUGUGAGGUGCAGGGAUACCCACCUCUGCCUUGACGGCCGCGCACCCCUUAGGAAGUGGCUGUCCAGCGCCUGCCUGUGCUGGGCCUGGGAGAGGAGCUGUCUUGCCAGGGCUCCCAGGCAGGGAGAGGCAGGUGAGGUUCUCAGCCGAUGUGUUAGAGGUUGAGCAUCGCCUGUGCCCAGCUUGCUGGCUGUCAGUGCUUGAUGUGCCCAUCCUCAGCUAAAACCCAGAGCUGGCAUGUUGGUCAUCCCCACCUCAGACGGGACGCCCAGUCCAGAGCUGGUGAGCCCUGGGCCAGCCUUUGGGCCUGGCCUGCCCCAUUCACCGGCCAGCGCCCCACCUCCCUGGCUGGAGGGUCGGGGAGGGGCUGGCAGAGAUGGUUGGUCCACAGGGCUAGCCCUGGGUGGUGGGAGAGGGGCCCAGGGUCAGGGUGAGAGAGAGCUGGGCCAGGGAGCUGCUGCAGGAUGAUUUUGAGGUGUGGGGGAAGCACUCUUGGUUGGUUUUGG
This 3096-nucleotide long non-coding RNA is filed under the name Homo sapiens (human). Its description in RNAcentral is "HSALNT0226614". The record is from RNAcentral. Lineage: Eukaryota; Metazoa; Chordata; Mammalia; Primates; Hominidae.